Non-coding RNA from Ailuropoda melanoleuca (giant panda), 46 nucleotides. The record is from Rfam. Lineage: Eukaryota; Metazoa; Chordata; Mammalia; Carnivora; Ursidae.
CCAAAGGCUCUUUUCAGAGCCACCAAAUUUCUCCUACGAGAACUGU